RNAcentral lists this ribosomal RNA (673 nucleotides) under uncultured bacterium. Its description in RNAcentral is "bacterial SSU rRNA". It matches the Rfam family "Bacterial small subunit ribosomal RNA", at positions 1 to 738 of the family's 1533-position model. The record is from RNAcentral.
AUAUUUGGUGGAACCCCUGGCGGCGUGAUUAACACAUGACAACCUCGAACGAACCUUCGGGUUAGUGGCGGACGGGUGAGUAACGCGUGAGAAUCUGCCCUCAGGAGGGGGAUAACGGUUGGAAACGACCGCUAAUACCCCAUAUGCCUACUGGUGAAAUGAAUUUCGCCUGAGGAUGAGCUCGCGUCUGAUUAGUUUGUUGGUGGGGUAAUGGCCUACCAAGACUGUGAUCAAUAGCUGAUUUGAGAGGAUGAUCAGCCACAUUGGGACUGAGACACGGCCCAAACUCCUACGGGAGGCAGCAGUGGGGAAUCUUGCACAAUGGAGGAAACUCUGAUGCAGCGAUGCCGCGUGAGUGAAGAAGGCCUUUGGGUUGUAAAGCUCUUUCGUCGGGGAAGAAAAUGACUGUACCCGAAUAAGAAGGUCCGGCUAACUUCGUGCCAGCAGCCGCGGUAAUACGAAGGGACCUAGCGUAGUUCGGAAUUACUGGGCUUAAAGAGUUCGUAGGUGGUUGAAAAAGUUAGUGGUGAAAUCCCAGAGCUUAACUCUGGAACUGCCCAUUAAAACUUUUCAGCUAGAGUAUGAUAGAGGAAAGCACAAUUUCUAGUGUAGAGGUGAAAUUCGUAGAUAUUAGAAAGAAUACCAAUUGCGAAGGCAGCUUUCCUGGAUCAUU